Molecule: ribosomal RNA, 485 nt
Filed under: uncultured bacterium
Lineage: Bacteria
Description: partial 16S ribosomal RNA
Rfam family: Bacterial small subunit ribosomal RNA
Source: RNAcentral
AUUGAACGCUGGCGGCAGGCUUAACACAUGCAAGUCGAGCGGAGAGAGGUAGCUUGCUACUGAUCUUAGCGGCGGACGGGUGAGUAAUGCUUAGGAAUCUGCCUAUUAGUGGGGGACAACAUUUCGAAAGGAAUGCUAAUACCGCAUACGUCCUACGGGAGAAAGCAGGGGAUCUUCGGACCUUGCGCUAAUAGAUGAGCCUAAGUCGGAUUAGCUAGUUGGUGGGGUAAAGGCCUACCAAGGCGACGAUCUGUAGCGGGUCUGAGAGGAUGAUCCGCCAAACUGGGACUGAGACACGGCCCAGACGCCUACGGGAGGCAGCAGUGGGGAAUAUUGGACAAUGGGCGCAAGCCUGAUCCAGCCAUGCCGCGUGUGUGAAGAAGGCCUUAUGGUUGUAAAGCACUUUAAGCGAGGAGGAGGCUACUUUAGUUAAUACCUAGAGAUAGUGGACGUUACUCGCAGAAUAAGCACCGGCUAACUCUGUG